GGAAUACUAACAACUAUCCCCUAGUAACGGCGAGUGAACCGGGAAGAGCUCAAAUUUGAAAUCUGGCGUGCUCAGUGCGUCCGAGUUGUAAUCUAUAGAGUCGUUUUCCGUGCCGGACUGUGUCCAAGUCCCUUGGAACAGGGUAUCAAAGAGGGUGAUAAUCCCGUACUUGACACAAUGACCGGUGCUCUGUGAUACGUCUUCUACGAGUCGAGUUGUUUGGGAAUGCAGCUCAAAAUGGGUGGUGAGUUCCAUCUAAAGCUAAAUAUUGGCGAGAGACCGAUAGCGAACAAGUACCGUGAGGGAAAGAUGAAAAGCACUUUGGAAAGAGAGUUAAACAGUACGUGAAAUUGUUAAAAGGGAAACGAUUGAAGUCAGUCGUGACUGAGAGGCUCAGCCGGUUCUGCCGGUGUAUUCCCCUCAGUCGGGUCAACAUCAGUUUUGUUCGGUGGAUAAGGGCAGUUGGAAGGUGGCACCCUCGGGUGUUGUUAUAGCCAGCUGUCGCAU
Molecule: ribosomal RNA, 507 nt
Filed under: Yamadazyma mexicana
Lineage: Eukaryota; Fungi; Ascomycota; Pichiomycetes; Serinales; Debaryomycetaceae
Description: eukaryotic LSU rRNA
Rfam family: Eukaryotic large subunit ribosomal RNA
Source: RNAcentral